RNAcentral lists this transfer RNA (65 nucleotides) under Dipodomys ordii (Ord's kangaroo rat). It matches the Rfam family "tRNA". Rfam says of the family: Transfer RNA (tRNA) molecules are approximately 80 nucleotides in length. Lineage: Eukaryota; Metazoa; Chordata; Mammalia; Rodentia; Heteromyidae. The record is from Rfam by way of RNAcentral.
GGUGGCUCAGUGGUAGAGUGCUUGCCUUGCAUGCAGGAGUCCCUGGGUUUGAUUCCCCAGCACCA